GGACAAGGACGGCCCAUGUGCUGGGAGAGGGACAGGGAGGAAGCUCUCCCUUCCUGGUGGCCCGGCCCUGAGUAGGGGUCAGUGAGGGGUCUUUAACUGACUCCCAGGCCCCUCUCCAAGCCCCUCUAUGAGCAGAGAGGCUGAUGCCCUUUCUGCUUUUCCACAACUGAGAUCUCACCUCCACAGAGGGACCUCCACCCCUCCCCAUCCCUGCUUCCCCAGAGUUACUGCCUACAUCCCACUGGCCUCAGUUUGGGCAUCUGAGAAAAGGGAACCUCACUCAGCACUCCUAGAGAAGAUGCUCAAUGAAUCUAGAGAACAUUUUUGAAACUUUUACAUGUGGACAUCUCCUAGAGAAACUUCAGAACACGAGACACGAAAAGGAAAUCGCAGAAGAACCCGGAGAGGAACGGAAGUGUACUGCUCGAGAACGUUUGGAUUAACAGGAUGCUUCUCAACAGCGACGAGAGUGGCCCAAAACAACAGGAAACGUCCUCAAAGUGCUGAGAGGACACAGGCGUCCAGCUAGAAUUUUCACCCAGCUAAGGGGUUACUCGAGAGUGAGCGUGAAACAGGCGUUUCAGAAGGGCUGAGAGCACUGUCCUUUGCUGGAACCCCCCUCAGAGGGGACCUGAGGCAGAAGGAGGGGAGCCCCAGGAGGAGGAGCAGCAAACAGGGGUGAAACGUGGGGACGCAGUGCAAUACAUACUGACAGUGAUCAUUAGUUGUAUCAAGAAUGAAGAUUUCGGUGAUGACAAAAUAGAACUAAAAUAGUAGAUGAUAAUGCCGUGUAACAUGAAAACCGUAGAGACCGGAGUGAACGCAUUCAAAGGUGACUGUGGGAUUCAAGAGAAUGGUAGAGAUCAACCAAGUCUGACUUUCAGUCAAGUAUGCGUGCUAAAAAUUAAGAGCAAGCGUUAAAAGAAUAGAUUGGAUUGAAUCAAAUGGAGAUGCUGAUGUCUGACCAGUUUCGACCAACAUAACGGCAAUUUCACGUGGUUCAGCCUAAUACACUGUGUAACUUCCAGACGAACAAAGGUAAAGCGGAGACCACUCCGCCAUACCAAAGGCAGGCAGGAAAGGCAGUGGAGGAGAGGAGCCAGGAGAGCCAUAUGUGCCCCCAAAAGGCGACGAUAGAAGCUGGAGAGGAAACUCUGCAAUUAAAACACAAACUCUAGGAUUAGUGGAAUUUGACGGCAUGAGUUAGUGUCAGAGACAGAAGGGCGAGUGGAAAAGCAGGGCGCCCAGGACAUACACAGGUUGAUACCAUCCAUGCAAAACUUAAAGCACGGAGACGAGACCAGGCACUGUGUCUGGGGACACGAAAACUGUGUGCACCUGCCCGGGACCAAAACACAGCUGCACGAUGGUGACUGAAAAUUGAAAACAAAAUUAUAGAAGAAUGAGAGGACCAGCUAAUGGAAAAAUGAGCGAAAGACUUGAGCAGACGCUUUAUGAACGAGACACCCGGACGGCCAAGACAACUAGGCAGCGUCAGUCACUGCCCUCAGUGAGCAGGAAAAUGAGCACACGCCUCGAAUGAGCUCCCCGGUGCCAGGCUUCACUCCUCUGGCUCCUACUGUUUCUCUUUCCUUGCUGGCGAUUUCCUCAUGCUGAGGCAGCGCGGGGAGGAGGUCCCAUCUGGGGAACACGGAAGCCAGAAUCUGUGCCCCCCUCCCAGGGCUAGAAGCCACAGGUGCCCCGACAAGCCUUGCAGUGGUGUCCUGCAAGGAAAAACCGCUCCUUAUUGGACCCAGAGGCAGAGCUGGCUGUGGCUCGGGUGUCUGUCCAGGUCUGGAAGUCAGGACUGUGCCCCCAGCAGCAGGAAAUCCUCCAGCUCCCUGGGUGGGAGAUCCGGCAGCCUGAGUCCACGGCAUGUCCUGCUCCUGCAGAAGCGGCUGGUUCUAGCCAGAGGACUGGUCCUAGACCGAGCUCUGCUCCAGACGAGGACCUGGUAGCGCGUGUCCACCUGGCUCCACACUAUGAGAUGGUUCUUGCUCAUGGUCUGAGCCAGCCAGCUCCAAAACACGCCGGAAUUUCUAAGGGAGAAGCAGCGCAUGGGAAAAGGCAAAGGAGCAGGGGCUUGUUUAGCAAAGGGUUGGGGGGGAGGCAUGGGGGCCUCCAGGAUGCCUCAGGGGAGCCCCAUGAUGCCCAAGGGAGAGUCGGAGCUGGGGUGAGA
Equus caballus (horse) is the source of this 2179-nucleotide long non-coding RNA. Lineage: Eukaryota; Metazoa; Chordata; Mammalia; Perissodactyla; Equidae. The record is from Ensembl.